GUGGGGAAUAUUGGACAAUGGGCGAAAGCCUGAUCCAGCCAUGCCGCGUGUGUGAAGAAGGUCUUCGGAUUGUAAAGCACUUUAAGUUGGGAGGAAGGGCAGUAAGUUAAUACCUUGCUGUUUUGACGUUACCGACUGAAUAAGCACCGGCUAACUUCGUGCCAGCAGCCGCGGUAAUACGAAGGGUGCAAGCGUUAAUCGGAAUUACUGGGCGUAAAGCGCGCGUAGGUGGUUUUGUAAGUUGGAGGUGAAAUCCACGGGCUCAACCUGAGAACUGCCUCCAAAACUGCAUGACUAGAGUACGGUAGAGGGUAGUGGAAUUUCCUGUGUAGCGGUGAAAUGCGUAGAUAUAGGAAGGAACAACAGUGGCGAAGGCGACUACCUGGACUGAUACUGACACUGAGGUGCGAAAGCGUGGGGAGCAAACAGGAUUAGAAACCCGUGUAGUCC
RNAcentral lists this ribosomal RNA (450 nucleotides) under uncultured bacterium. RNAcentral describes it as "bacterial SSU rRNA". It matches the Rfam family "Bacterial small subunit ribosomal RNA", at positions 354 to 796 of the family's 1533-position model. The record is from RNAcentral.